UAUCUUCUUAAACCACCCAUAAGAGCCAUAUUCUGACUUUUUUCUGGCGAAUAUCCAACAAUAGGUUCCAUUGAAUGAAUAAUGGAUCCGGAUCCCAAAAACAAUAAAGCUUUAGAAUAGGCAUGGGUAAUCAAAUGGAAUAAAGCAGCUCGAUAAGAACCUAUACCUAGAGCUAACAUAAUAUAACCCAAUUGAGACAUUGUAGAAUAGGCUAAACUUCUUUUUAUAUCUCUUUGAGCAAGAGCCAAAGUAGCUCCUAGUAGUACUGUUAUUACACCUAUUAAAGAUAUGAAAUUCAUUAUGUAAGGUAUAGCUAUGAAAAUAGGAAGAAGUCGAGCUACAAGAAAAAUUCCUGCUGCUACCAUAGUAGCAGCGUGUAUAAGAGCCGAGAUGGGAGUGGGUCCUUCCAUGGCAUCGGGUAACCAUACGUGAAGGGGGAAUUGUGCGGAUUUAGCAACUGCACCAAUGAAUAAUAAAGAGGCACACAAAGUAGCAAAUAAAGAACUGACACCAUUAUUAUGGAUCAAGUUAUUAGUUAUUUCGAACAAAUCCCGAAAUUCGAAACUACCUGUUAUCCAAUAAAAACCUAAAAUUCCUAAUAAUAAACCAAAAUCCCCUACACGGUUAGUUACAAAAGCUUUUUGACAAGCACUUGCUGCAGUCGGUCGUGUGAACCAAAAUCCUAUUAAUAAAUAGGAACACAUCCCCACCAGUUCCCAAAAAAUAUAAAUUUGUAUCAAAUUGGAACUGGUAACUAAUCCCAACAUGGAAGCAUUGAAAAAACUCAUAUAAGCAAAAAAUCUCAGAUAUCCUUGAUCAUGAGACAUAUAAUUGUCACUAUAAAUAAGAACCAAGAUUCCAACAGUAGUAAUUAGUAUUGACAUAAUAGAACUAAGUGGGUCGAUCAAAUAUCCGAACUCUAAGGAAAAAUCAUUAUUGAUGGUCCAAGACCAUAGAUAUUGAUAGAUAGAACUUCCAUGUAUUUGUUGAAUAGAUAAAUUGGCUGAAAACCCCAUAACUAUACUUAACAGUAAAACACUAGGAAAAGCCCAUAUACGACGAAUAUUUUUUGUUGCUGUCGGAAUCAGUAGAAGUCCAAAUCCUAUUGACACAGUAACUGGAAGUGGAAGAAAAGGUAUUAUCCAUGCAUAUUGAUAUGUAUGUUCCAUAAGAAAACAAAAUGAAAUCUUUAAUAAUUCUACUAUUCUAGUCUAGUCUUAGUAGAAUAUUCUAUUCUGGUAAUUUAUAGCCAUAUUAUAUAGUAUAAUAAGAAAAAAGAGUUAUACCAAAAGGAGUACUUGAUUCUAAUUAUGUUUUAAUAAAAUUAUAUGUUUUAAUAGGUUUAAAAUAUAUUUUCAAACAGGUUUUAAACAUAUUCGAAAAUGCUUUUUUUAAAACUAUUCUACCAGGGAAUAAGUAUAGAUAAUGACUAAAAGGAACAAUCUAUUUUGAACAAAACAAUACAUGUCUUUCACAUACAACGAUAAAAACUGGUAACCCUUUUUGAAUGGCAGUUCCCAAAAAGCGUACUUCUAUGUCAAAAAAACGUAUUCGUAAAAAUAUUUGGAAAAAAAAAGGAUUUUUAGCUGCAGUAAAGGCUUUUUCCUUAGCGAAAUCGGUUUCCACCGGACGUUCAAAAAGUUUUUUUGUGCAACAAACAAAUAAUAAAGUCUUGGAAUAAUCGGAAUUGACAUACCCGAAGAACUUCGAAUUUUUUAAGAUGAACGAUUCACAUUAAUUAAUGUAUUGAACUCCUCAAUAUCAAUAUGAGUUAGAACUAGCUGUUGUAGUAUGUAGAUGUGGUAUGUAGAAUAAAGGUAUGUAUAUCGAAUUCUGAAUAUUUUUUCUAUCUACUUUUUUCACAAUAGAAAAA
Molecule: long non-coding RNA, 1873 nt
Organism: Musa acuminata AAA Group (dessert banana)
Lineage: Eukaryota; Viridiplantae; Streptophyta; Magnoliopsida; Zingiberales; Musaceae
Exons: 2
Source: RefSeq, a predicted model, not a curated record